Molecule: ribosomal RNA, 252 nt
Filed under: uncultured bacterium
Lineage: Bacteria
Description: partial 16S ribosomal RNA
Rfam family: Archaeal small subunit ribosomal RNA
Source: RNAcentral
UACCAGCACCCCGAGUGGUCGGGACGAUUAUUGGGCCUAAAGCAUCCGUAGCCGGUUCUGCAAGUCCCCCGUUAAAUCCAGCUGCUCAACAGAUGGGCCGCGGAGGAUACUACAGAGCUAGGAGGCAGGAGAGGCAAGCGGUACUCAGUGGGUAGGGGUAAAAUCCGUUGAUCCAUUGAAGACCACCAGUGGCGAAGGCGGCUUGCCAGAAUGCGCUCGACGGUGAGGGAUGAAGCUGGGGGAGCAAACCGG